This 29-nucleotide non-coding RNA is filed under the name Mus musculus (house mouse). Lineage: Eukaryota; Metazoa; Chordata; Mammalia; Rodentia; Muridae. The record is from RNAcentral.
UUUGCCUCUGCUCACCACACCCUCAUCAC